UACGUAGGUGGCAAGCGUUGUCCGGAUUUACUGGGCGUAAAGAGCGCGCAGGCGGUCGUUCAAGUCUCGUGUGAAAGCCCCCGGCUCAACUGGGGAGGGUCACGCGAUACUGAUCGACUCGAAGGCAGGAGAGGGUAGUGGAAUUCCCGGUGUAGUGGUGAAAUGCGUAGAUAUCGGGGGGAACACCAGUGGCGAAGGCGACUACCUGGCCUGUUCUUGACGCUGAGGCGCGAAAGCUAGGGGAGCAAACGGG
Molecule: ribosomal RNA, 253 nt
Filed under: uncultured bacterium
Lineage: Bacteria
Description: partial 16S ribosomal RNA
Rfam family: Bacterial small subunit ribosomal RNA
Source: RNAcentral